Molecule: ribosomal RNA, 270 nt
Filed under: uncultured bacterium
Lineage: Bacteria
Description: partial 16S ribosomal RNA
Rfam family: Bacterial small subunit ribosomal RNA
Source: RNAcentral
AACGAACGUUAGCGGCGCGCUUAACACAUGCAAGUCGCACGAGAAAGGGCUUCGGCCCCGGUAAAGUGGCGCACGGGUGAGUAACACGUGGGUAAUCUUCCCUCGAGCGGGGGAUAACAUUCCGAAAGGAGUGCUAAUACCGCAUAAGACCACGUCUUCGAAAGAAGAUGAGGUAAAAGCCGGCCUCUAUACAUAAGCUGGCACUUGAGGAUGAGCCCGCGGCCCAUCAGGUUGUUGGCAGGGUAAUGGCCUACCAAGCCUAAGACGGGU